GAUCCUGGCUCAGGAUGAACGCUGGCGGCGUGCCUAAUACAUGCAAGUAGAACGCUGAAGGAAGGAGCUUGCUCUUUCCGGAUGAGUUGCGAACGGGUGAGUAACGCGUAGGUAACCUGCCUGGUAGCGGGGGAUAACUAUUGGAAACGAUAGCUAAUACCGCAUAACAGUAGAUGUUGCAUGACAUUUGCUUGAAAGGGGCAAUUGCUCCACUACCAGAUGGACCUGCGUUGUA
This 235-nucleotide ribosomal RNA is filed under the name uncultured bacterium. RNAcentral describes it as "partial 16S ribosomal RNA". It matches the Rfam family "Bacterial small subunit ribosomal RNA", at positions 15 to 240 of the family's 1533-position model. The record is from RNAcentral.